AUGAAUGGGACUCCCCUCCCCCAUGGGGGGGGGGUCCCCGCGGCCGCGCAGGUUCGCCCAGCCAGCCCCGGGCCCGGAAGACAAAAGCGGCACCGGGAGGGACCAACGGAGCGCUCCCUACCCCCACCCCCCUCGCCAAAACUUACCGAUCACCUCCCCCUCCCCAAAACAAAGAAGCCUCCCCUUACCCCCAGCUCCAGUCUCCGCCCGCCCCUCCAACCCCCGACGCGCCGGCACCACUUUGGGGGAGCGGCCCCAUCGGGGUAUUGUUCAGCCUGCAGGGAGCGCGCGCAACACCCCAGCCCGAUCCCCGGGGGGACACUUGGGGAAGCUGGGCCCCCUCCCUCCACCGCACCCCCACCCCCCUACCAGAGACGGGGGUCCCCGAGCGGGCGGCCGGCCGGCCUGACCCCCUCAGAGGGCGGGAAUGAGCCGGGCCCGGGCCUCACCCCUACCCUGAGCGAGAGAAGUUUCCGCAGCGCGCCCGGCCCGGGCCGAGCCCCGCGCGCACACUUACCUCGCCCUGAGCCGCGCAACUUGUGUCCGGCGCCGCCGCUCCAAGCCUGCGCCCCGCCGGCCGCCGCCGCCGCCGCCGAGCCCGGGCCGCGCCGCGGCAGCCGAGGGCCCGGCGCCCGAAGCCGCCGCGCGCCGCCCCCCCGGGCCGCCCCCGCCCCGCGCCCGCGUCCCCCGCCGCCGCCGAGUCCCCGAGACGCGCGGGCGCUGGAAAGUUUCGGGUGCCGAAUGGCGGCGAGGGCGCUGCGGCGGCGGCGGCGGCGGCGGGGCGGGGGCGCGGGCGGCUCCUCGCUCCCGAGCGCGGAGGACGGGGCGGGCGGGGAGGGGGGGAAAACGGCGGCGGCGGGAGAGGGCGGGACGCGGGAGGGACCGGCGCGGCCAGUGACCUCCGCUGGGGAGCGGCCGCCGGAACGCCGACCCCGGCCGGGAGGACGGCCCUGGGCGCCGCCCCCAGCCUGCGCCCGCCCCCGCCGCCGCCGCCGCCGCCGCCGCCGGGGGAGGGGAGCCCGGGGCCCCAGCGCGCUCCCCGACCCGGGACCCCCCCAUCGCCCUCCCCCCAUCACCCUCCACAGCCCCCAGCCUGCGCCCUCCCCCACCGCCCGGGGCCCUUGCGCGCUCCCCCACCCGGGCCUCCCCAUCGCCCACCCCCACGGCCCCCAGCCUGCGCCCGACCCCGCCGCAGGGAAAGGGGACCCCGGGGCCCCUGCACCCUCCCCCACCCCCAAAGAGGCCUCGUCCCAGGCCAGCCCCUCCCCCAGGACCCCCAGCCCGCCCCCUCCCCCACCGCCGGGGGAGGGGAGCCCGGGUCCUCUGCAACCUCCCCCCACCCGCGUACCCCCUCCCCACCCCCCAGACCCUCCCCCACGCCCAAAGGGGCCGCGUCCAGGCCAGCACCCCUCCCCCACGGCCUCCAGUGUGCCCCCUCCCCCACACACCCCGGCCUGCCCUUCCCCCACGGUGCAGGCGGUAAGAGCCCGGGCCCCUCCCCCAUGGCCUCUAGGGGGGCGGUAG
This 1524-nucleotide long non-coding RNA is filed under the name Bos indicus x Bos taurus (hybrid cattle). Its description in RNAcentral is "lncRNA (ENSBIXG00005010840.1)". The record is from RNAcentral. Lineage: Eukaryota; Metazoa; Chordata; Mammalia; Artiodactyla; Bovidae.